UGUAAGCGUAUACCAAAGUUGUUGCAGUUAAAACGCUCGUAGUCGGAAUUUGGCAGUUCCGGAUGUGUGCACGUCGUGUGCGCACUUCGCGGGGAUUGCUUUUGUGGUCUUGCGUAGGAUGAGGCACUUUUAUUAGUGAACGUCCUCACGCAACCACUUUUUACUGUGAGAAAAUCAGAGUGCUCAAAGCAGGCAUUUGCCGUGAAUGUAUUAGCGUGGAAUAAUAGAAUAGGACUUGGUUCUAUUUUGUUGGUUUGUUGGGACUGAGUAAUGAUUAAGAGGGACAGUUGGGGGGCAUUUGUAUUUCGGUGCUAGAGGUGAAAUUCUUAGAUUACCGAAAGACAAACUGCUGCGAAAGCGUCUGCCAAGGAUGUUUUCAUUGA
Molecule: ribosomal RNA, 383 nt
Filed under: uncultured eukaryote
Lineage: Eukaryota
Description: partial 18S ribosomal RNA
Rfam family: Eukaryotic small subunit ribosomal RNA
Source: RNAcentral